CUACGGGUUGCUCCAGUGAGGAAUAUUGCACAAUGGGGGGAACCCUGAUGCAGCAACGCCGCGCGGAGGAUGACGCAUUUCAGUGUGUAAACUCCUUUUAUAUGUCAAGAAAAUGACGGUAGCAUAUGAAUAAGCACCGGCUAACUCCGUGCCAGCAGCCGCGGUAAUACGGAGGGUGCAAGCGUUACUCGGAAUCACUGGGCGUAAAGGACGCGUAGGCGGGUUGGAAAGUCAGGUGUGAAAUCCUACAGCUUAACUGUAGAACUGCACUUGAAACUUCUAAUCUAGAGUAUGGGAGGGGGAGAUGGAAUUAGUGGUGUAGGGGUAAAAUCCGUAGAUAUCACUAGGAAUACCUAAAGCGAAGGCGAUCUCCUGGAACAUUACUGACGCUAAGGCGUGAAAGCGUGGGGAGCAAACAGGAUUAGUACCCGCGUAGUC
This 438-nucleotide ribosomal RNA is filed under the name uncultured bacterium. RNAcentral's name for it is "partial 16S ribosomal RNA". It matches the Rfam family "Bacterial small subunit ribosomal RNA", at positions 339 to 795 of the family's 1533-position model. The record is from RNAcentral.